AUGCUCAGUGACCCUCAAAGAGGGGAGCAAGCAAACAGGGGAACCCCACCCUGGGUUUCAGCACAAAAAUGAAGGGAAAGCGAGGGAUGAGAGAAAGGUAAGAGAAAAAUGAAAGACAGAGACCAGGCAGAGAUACAUAUGAGAGUUUAUUUGUCAGAGCUGACAGAUAAAGGCCAUUUCUCUAUAGGAGAGAGAGGCAAAACAGGCUUGAGUUCUGUGACUUUUAUGGGACAGGUUCAGGAAUCAGAGCCAGACAGUUCCUAAUGUGGGCAGUUAAGGGUUGGGUUGGUAUGAGGGAAUGGUGAUGAAAAACCAGCCUCUAUCUCAGAGCAAAGCCUGUCCAAGGAAGGGACAUGGCCUUUGUCCUUGGAAAAACCCACAGAGCACUCCUAAGCACAUUCCCACCCUGCUAAGUUAUUUAUCCACAAAUAACAGAGAGAUCUGCUGCGCCAGGUGUCCCUGACUCAGUCAGGCUAGGUGGGGACCCAUAGCAGCCCCCUAGCAGCCACCAAUCAGCAUGAGUCAAGGAAAUACCUGGGAUGCCAGAUGACCCUCCCAGUAGUUUAUGGUAGUUGAUAACAUAUUGGGAAACCAUGUAGUUCAGCACAUACACCCCUCUUGGCUUAAACCAAUCAGUUCAAAUGAAUACCCCUUUUGGACUGACCAAUCACCCCUACCCAACUUGUUCCCGCCAGUGAAUGUGCUAAUCAUGUUUUAGAGUUGUUAUUUGAUUUUCCUGCGGUGUGUGAUGAUUUGCUAUGAUGUAUGUGAAGUCCCUGCCCUCUCCAAAGAAUGUAUAAAACUGCUGCAAACCCUGGGCUCGGGGCCUCUCAGCGUCACCAGUUGCUGUGUGUGUGCGUGGAG
RNAcentral lists this long non-coding RNA (864 nucleotides) under Marmota monax (woodchuck). Lineage: Eukaryota; Metazoa; Chordata; Mammalia; Rodentia; Sciuridae. The record is from RNAcentral.